This is a regulatory RNA element of Cavia porcellus (domestic guinea pig), 145 nucleotides long. It matches the Rfam family "Human acetyl-coA cholesterol acyltransferase mRNA". NCBI's taxonomy places the organism in Eukaryota, Metazoa, Chordata, Mammalia, Rodentia, Caviidae. The record is from Rfam.
GCGCUGUCGGCGUUGCGGGCCCAGGGCGACGGGACGUCUUCCCGGGGCCGACCUGUGUGCUGGUCCCGGAGUGACGGGUUUCCGACUCGGUCUCUCGACGGAGGCUCCCGCAGCCCGGCGGGCUUGGGCCUCAGGUAACGCCGGU